RNAcentral lists this ribosomal RNA (921 nucleotides) under uncultured bacterium. RNAcentral's name for it is "bacterial SSU rRNA". It matches the Rfam family "Bacterial small subunit ribosomal RNA", at positions 1 to 916 of the family's 1533-position model. The record is from RNAcentral.
GGAUCCAGACUUUGAUUAUGGCUCAGGAUGAACGCUAGCUACAGGCCUAACACAUGCAAGUCGAGGGGAAACGGCAGCUUAGCUUGCUAAGCUGGACGUCGACCGGCGCACGGGUGAGUAACGCGUAUCCAACCUGCCCCACGGUGAGGGAUAACCCGCGGAAACGCGGCCUAAUACCUCAUGGUCUCCGAGUUUGCCAUCAACCUUGGAGUAAAGAUUCAUUGCCGUGGGAUGGGGAUGCGUCUGAUUAGCUUGUUGGCGGGGCAACGGCCCACCAAGGCAACGAUCAGUAGGGGUUCUGAGAGGAGAGCCCCCCACAUUGGAACUGAGACACGGUCCAAACUCCUACGGGAGGCAGCAGUGAGGAAUAUUGGUCAAUGGGCGAGAGCCUGAACCAGCCAAGUAGCGUGCAGGACGACGGCCCUAUGGGUUGUAAACUGCUUUUAUGCGGGGAUAAAGCGGGCGACGUGUCGCCCUUUGCAGGUACCGCAUGAAUAAGGACCGGCUAAUUCCGUGCCAGCAGCCGCGGUAAUACGGAAGGUCCGGGCGUUAUCCGAUUUAUUGGGUUUAAAGGGAGCGCAGGCCGGGUAUUAAGCGUGUUGUGAAAUGUAGGCGCCCAACGUCUGCACCGCAGCGCGAACUGGUGCCCUUGAGUACGCACGACGUUGGCGGAAUUCGCCGUGUAGCGGUGAAAUGCUUAGAUAUGGCGAAGAACUCCGAUUGCGAAGGCAGCUGACGGGAGCGCUACUGACGCUCAUGCUCGAAAGCGCGGGUAUCGAACAGGAUUAGAUACCCUGGUAGUCCGCGCGGUAAACGAUGGAUGCCCGCUAUUUGCGCAUUAGCGCAAGUGGCCAAGUGAAAACGUUAAGCAUCCCACCUGGGGAGUACGCCGGAAAGGGUGCAACUCAAAGGAAUUGACGG